UCGGGAAUUUUGGGCAAUGGGCGAAAGCCUGACCCAGCAACGCCGCGUGAGGGAUGAAGUAUUUCGGUAUGUAAACCUCGAAAGAAUGGGAAGAAUAAAUGACGGUACCAUUUAUAAGCUCCGGCUAACUACGUGCCAGCAGCCGCGGUAAUACGUAGGGAGCAAGCGUUGUUCGGAUUUACUGGGCGUAAAGGGCGCGUAGGCGGCGCGGUAAGUCACUUGUGAAAUCUCUGAGCUUAACUUAGAACGGCCAAGUGAUACUGCUGUGCUAGAGUGCGGAAGAGGCAACCGGAAUUCUUGGUGUAGCGGUGAAAUGCGUAGAUAUCAAGAGGAACACCUGAGGCGAAGGCGGGUUGCUGGGCCGACACUGACGCUGAUGCGCGAAAGCCAGGGGAGCAAACG
This 402-nucleotide ribosomal RNA is filed under the name uncultured bacterium. RNAcentral describes it as "bacterial SSU rRNA". It matches the Rfam family "Bacterial small subunit ribosomal RNA", at positions 355 to 774 of the family's 1533-position model. The record is from RNAcentral.